GUUAUUUUGGCAGAAAUUAUGUGUAAGAUUUAGGAUCUUAUAAAAUAGGUUUAUCCUAUA
RNAcentral lists this transfer RNA (60 nucleotides) under Dissodactylus crinitichelis. RNAcentral's name for it is "tRNA-Leu". The record is from RNAcentral. Lineage: Eukaryota; Metazoa; Arthropoda; Malacostraca; Decapoda; Pinnotheridae.